This is a small nucleolar RNA of Arachis stenosperma, 102 nucleotides long. NCBI's taxonomy places the organism in Eukaryota, Viridiplantae, Streptophyta, Magnoliopsida, Fabales, Fabaceae. The record is from RefSeq and is a predicted model, not a curated record.
AUCCGGAUGGCAUUUUCUUGUCAAGUCUUUUAAUCUCUCCCAGGCCUCAUAAAGGGUUUCACCAUCUUGCUAUCUAAAGGUUUGCACCUCGACUCUCAGUCU